GUGCGUAAGGCUAGCCUGCUAGAUCAUGCAGUCGAGCGAUGGAUUAAGAGCUUGCUCUUAUGAAGUUAGCGGCGGAUGGGAGCGGCACACGUGGGUAACCUGCCCAUAAGACUGGGAUAACUCCGAAGAAACCGGGGCUAAUACCGGAUAACAUUUUGAACCGCAUGGUUCGAAAUUGAAAGGCGGCUUCGGCUGUCACUUAUGGAUGGACCCGCGUCGCAUUAGCUAGUUGGUGAGGUAACGGCUCACCAAGGCAACGAUGCGUAGCCGACCUGAGAGGGUGAUCGGCCACACUGGGACUGAGACACGGCCCAGACUCCUACGGGAGGCAGCAGUAGGGAAUCUUCCGCAAUGGACGAAAGUCUGACGGAGCAACGCCGCGUGAGUGAUGAAGGCUUUCGGGUCGUAAAACUCUGUUGUUAGGGAAGAACAAGUGCUAGUUGAAUAAGCUGGCACCUUGACGGUACCUAACCAGAAAGCCACGGCUAACUACGUGCCAGCAGCCGCGGUAAUACGUAGGUGGCAAGCGUUAUCCGGAAUUAUUGGGCGUAAAGCGCGCGCAGGUGGUUUCUUAAGUCUGAUGUGAAAAGCCCACGGCUCAACCGUGGAGGGGUCAUUGGAAACUGGGGAGACUUGAGUGCAGAAGAGGAAAGUGGAAUUCCAUGUGUAGCGGUGAAAAUGCGUAUAGAUAUUGGAGGAACACCAGUGGCGAAGGCGACUUUUUUGGUCUGUAACCUGACCCUGAGGCGCGAAAAGCGUGGGAAG
Molecule: ribosomal RNA, 765 nt
Filed under: Bacillus cereus
Lineage: Bacteria; Bacillati; Bacillota; Bacilli; Caryophanales; Bacillaceae
Description: bacterial SSU rRNA
Rfam family: Bacterial small subunit ribosomal RNA
Source: RNAcentral